Molecule: long non-coding RNA, 3760 nt
Filed under: Oryza sativa (Asian cultivated rice)
Lineage: Eukaryota; Viridiplantae; Streptophyta; Magnoliopsida; Poales; Poaceae
Description: long non-coding RNA (OSAT_LNC000342)
Source: RNAcentral
CUCAAAAAUCCUAGGCAAUGGCGCAGCAAGUGCGGAGAUCGGCUACCGUCUUCUUCACCUCCGGUCGCCGUCGCCAUUGUCGAUUCCGCCUCCUCCGGUGAGCCAUUGUCCGAUUCUUCGCGUAUACACCAUCCCUGGGACCUCACUAACCCCAUGAAAACACAUGGAUGUCAAUUCGAUGAGUGGAUCGAGCCGUUGCCGUCUCCCCGGAGCUCUACACCGUCGCCGGACCAUCUUCUUCACCGCUGCCGCUGUCCAGACUUUCCCGCGCCUCGUUCAAGGUUCGGUGAGCACACUUGAGCCCAUAGGAUUGCAUUCAUGCAUUUCAUUCACUUAGAAUCGAGCACCAACUCAACAUGCAGUAGCAGCCUAAGCACAGCCGCCGCUCGGACUCGCCGCCGGCGUUACUCCGAUGUCCACUGACCGAGAAAAGUAGAGGAAUGGAAUCACAAUAGCAUGAUCGUCAUUUUGUCUUUUGGUCGCACCCUCAACCGAGCCACCGUUUGCCGCUGGCAAGCUUGAGAUCGAGCUCAGCCAUGGCUUGAUCUGCUUCAGCUCAAACCAGGGACCUCCUCACAAGAAUUUAGGUUAAUGUAGGGUUCUUUCUGCAAAAGCUCAAGACACACAGAACAGUCAUAAGACUGCGGUUUGAUUUCCUGAAACCCUAGGGGCCUUUUUGCAUAUUGGCCUGAGACCGACAAGUGGACCCCAUGAGUUUAAAAUCUGAAAAUGUAAAAGAUAAUACUAAAAGCCUUUACUUUUUAACAGCAAAACACCUAAACUUGUAAAAUCCAUAUAAAAUCAAAUAUAACUUAUUUUGAGAUGAUUCAACUUUCUAUAGGUUCACAAAACUAUGAACUUUAAUGUGGUAACAUUAAGCUUGGCACCCUCAGCACAGACCUUGUCUCUAAAAUGGGUCUAAUAUAAAUCAUACAUAAAGCAUACACAAACUUAUAAAAUGCAUAUAAAGUACAUCUCAACUCAUUUUGGAGCAAACUCAGUUUCUACAGAUCCACAACUUAUGUUCUCCUAUAAAGCAAAAUGAAAUAGUAUACAUACUAUACAUCAAAUGCCUCUAAAACUAUUACCUUUGAAUGACUAGUUUUAGAUAAGCUGAAUUUUAGAAGUUCAUAUAAAAUUCAUCUUAGAUCCUUUUUGAGUAAACCCAAGUUCUGUAGAAUCACCAAAACAUAUACUUCCAAGUUAUAAAAUAAAAUUAUAUACUUACUGUAUGAUAAAAGCCUCUAAAUACUUAUGUAAGUAAUAACCAACAUACAGAAACCUUAAAUUGUAAAAUUUGUAGAAAAUUCAUCUUUAGUCUAAAUGAAGUGAACCAAAUAUCUAUAGAACCAGCAAACAGUGGGCUUCAACAUAGUAAAAUAAAAUAUGGAACCUUCUGUACAGGUUAUAGCUCUAAACUUUAAAUUUAUAGGAUAGGUGCUAAUCACAUAGUAUCGAUUGAGCAAUAUGUAUAUAUAUAAAUGUAUAUAGAAAUACACUCUAGCUAUAAUGAAACCCAAAUAAAACUUGUUAGACUAGUGAAUGCAUAGUUCCAUCCCCAUCCACCAAAACUUAAGGCACUUAGCUCAUAUAAUAAUUUCUAGGUUGAUAUAAUAAAUUGCUAGCAUGGACUAGAGCUCCUCUAGUUUAUAAAAUAUGAACCAUGAUAAUAAAGACCAUAAGCCUAUGAACUAAGGUUAGAUUAGUUAACUAAAAUACUCAUUUUAUACAUCACUAGCUAGAUGAGGCAAGUUCUGGACCUAAACCUCUAAAGCCAUGAAACUAUAGAACACUAUACACCUAUAACACGUUAUAACUUGUAAAAUACAUAAAGAAUUCAUAUUAAGUCCAAAAAUUGUGAAACCAAAUGUGUUAGUCUUAGAAAACACUCCUCUACACCUCUGUGAAGUCAAAACUAAUAAAAAUCACUUUAUAAAAAUAUUUUAUAACACUACCUAGGUGAUACUACCUUAUACUGAGGAAACUUCUAAAAUUCAUAACUCCCAAAUAAAAAGAGAUAAAAUAGAAAUUCUUUCACCUAAAUUCAUAUUAUACCAGUACCUAUUCACUGUGCAAAAAUCAUCAAUUUUAGAGCAUUUUGGAUUUUUCGCAUAUUUCGGUGUUUAAUUGCAUAACGUGUACUUUGUAUAGAUGAUUGCUUAAACGGUGAAGAAGUGAUUUAGGUGCUGACAUUUUCCUGAUUCAAGGCAAGUCCCACCUCCCUCUCUUUGAUCACUUUGAACCUAUGUUUUGGAGGUUAUUGAAAAUGUUUGCAAAUCUUGCAUGUCGAUUGUACACUAAUAAAUUAAAAUUUUGUUAAACUUAUUAGAUAAACUCCUAUUAUUUGCAUUAUCACCUUAAAUCCACAUAUAUCCAUAUUCCUCAUUCCUAACCUUAGGAACAAUAUGACUAUACCAAUUUAUAUAUGAGUUUUGGUGACACUAGGUUACUAUAAAGCUUAACCAUGCUUAGAAUGGUCUUCCUUGUCAUUAUGGGCUCAUUACAAACAUGAAAAUUGAUUUUUAAUUAAUCUGGACAGAACUUUAAUACUUGUGAUUUUGAUAAAUAAAAUGGUGGAAAACAUGGAUUUUAGGUUUGGGCCUCAAGUGGUGCACAUAUGGUGAUUAGUUGUGUACCGAUAGGGGGAGAGUGUGCCCAAACCGACCUAAGGACUUCACUCAAUGUCAGUUCAUUUCGUAUACGGUGCAACCACAUGUGCUAGUAUGGGAUAGCCCAAGCUUAGUAAAUUAUUUAUGGUUUAGCCUUACAUUCUGGUAGGCCGGUGUGUAUGAGUUCAUAUAAUUCAGAGGAGCUUCCUAUUUACCUCGAAGUGGUAGUUUAGGUGACCUAGCGUGUCCAAUACAACGGUAUUGUGCCACGUGGUGGGUUCCCGUUGUAUCCGCCACCACGGCGUUAAGUUUAAGGCGUGGGCCCGCCACUUAACGGUUUUAGGUCAUAUAACAUGUAUGGCUUAGGAUGGAGUAACACGUAUCGUGCUGGUGUAAGGUUAAAUCAUGAAUUUUGAAAAAGCUUUAUUGCGGGUAAUAAAUCGGGUACUUAUGUAUCGCGUGCCAUGCUCUUGCAUGAUUAUUAUUUUGCAUCAUGUGGGUAAAGUGUACAAACUAUGCAGAGUAAAAACUAAUCGAUUAGCCGUGCUCACGGACAAGAGCGACGUGUGGAUAUGUAUUGAGUAUAGACUUGUGUUUAUUCUUCUUAAUGCUAAAAUUUACCUUCAAAUUGUGAUGAGAUUUGAGAAUGAUCUCCUUGCUGCCAUGGAAGGCAAUGAGGUGCAUAUUUAUACAUGAUUAAUGCCUACCUUGAUGCCCAAUAUGUCAAGUACUAGCUUGCUGAAAUUUAUUUGAAAGUAAACCUGAUUUAGAAAUGUUUUAUGCAAAUAAAACUUGCUUUAUGCUAAAAAGAACCAUAUUAUGCCUUCCUUGAUUAUAUGCCUUGCAAGUAGGGUGUUAGGCUUGUCUUGAUGCUUGCCAGUACAUUAUUUCUAAUAAUGUACUAACUCUUGCUAUUGAAUUAAUCUUUUGCUUGCAGGUUUUAGACUUAGUCUUUGAGUGAUGCGGGUAAUCGACUGCUUCUUCUAGGACUUGAAUUUAAUGGGGUAAAUCCCUAGUCGGUGUGCUUGUGGAUUGGGUAGACAAGCUUCCGCUGUUCUAUAUAUUUAUUUGGCCAGUCGGCCAAUGUAACUAAAGUAGAUGUAGUUUAUAAUCGCUUUCAUCUUAUUUGUGUUUGCUAUGUAUAAUCAUGC